GCAAACCAUAAUGUCGUUUGUACUGGGGAUUUGUCUAUUGGUUUGAUGCUUAUUGUUAAUGUAAAUGCUUACAUAGUUCUCUGGUAACUUUUCUCACUAUACGUUCACGUCGUUUUGGUUCUAUCUUUAUCUCAGGAAACACGCAAGCUAGUAGUGCUUCAGGCCGAAGACGCAACUAAGGUAUCCUGGUUUUAUUGCGGCCUUGGUGAGCGCAGCAAGUUUUCACGGUGCACGAAGCUGCUCAUUGCCGACUGCAAAUAAACAUACCGCACCUGUAGAGACUCUCUGCUCAUUCGUGACGCCAAGGGCUGUAACAUUGAGGAAGGAACAGUCUUCCUGCAACAGCAGCAGAGCCAGG
Monopterus albus (swamp eel) is the source of this 358-nucleotide long non-coding RNA. RefSeq lists it as uncharacterized. The transcript has 3 exons. The record is from RefSeq and is a predicted model, not a curated record. NCBI's taxonomy places the organism in Eukaryota, Metazoa, Chordata, Actinopteri, Synbranchiformes, Synbranchidae.